GACGAACGCUGGCGGCGUGCUUAACACAUGCAAGUCACGGGGGGUCCCGCAAGGGAUAACCGGCGAACGGGUGCGUAACACGUGAACAACCUGCCCUCGUGUGGGGGAUAGCCAUGCUAACGCGUGGGUAAUACCGCAUACGUUCUCUUUGGGGAGUCCCGAGGAGAGGAAAGCUCCGGCGCACGGGGAGGGGUUCGCGGCCUAUCAGUUAGUUGGCGGGGUAAUGGCCCACCAAGGCGACGACGGGUAGCUGGUCUGAGAGGAUGGCCAGCCACAUUGGGACUGAGAGACGGCCCAGACUCCUACGGGAGGCAGCAGUGGGGAAUCUUGCGCAAUGGCCGAAAGGCUGACGCAGCGACGCCGCGUGUGGGAUGAAGCAUUUCGUGUGUAAACCACUGUUGCCCGGGACGAACAGCCUUUUCGAGAGGUCUGACGGUACCGGGUGAGGAAGCACCGGCUAACUCCGUGCCAGCCGCCGCAGU
RNAcentral lists this ribosomal RNA (482 nucleotides) under uncultured bacterium. RNAcentral describes it as "bacterial SSU rRNA". It matches the Rfam family "Bacterial small subunit ribosomal RNA", at positions 28 to 521 of the family's 1533-position model. The record is from RNAcentral.